GUAGGUGGCAAGCGUUGUCCGGAUUUACUGGGCGUAAAGGGCGUGCAGGCGGUCUGUUAAGUCUAGGGUGAAAGCUCCCGGCUCAACUGGGAGAGGUCCUUGGAUACUGGCGGACUUGAGGGAGGCAGAGGAAAGUGGAAUUCCCGGUGUAGUGGUGAUAUGCGUAGAUAUCGGGAGGAACACCAGUGGCGAAGGCGGCUUUCUGGGCCUUACCUGACGCUGAGACGCGAAAGCGUGGGGAGCGAACCGGAUUAGAUACCCGGGUAGUCCACGCCGUAAACUAUGGACACUAGGUGUGGGGGGUAUCGACCCCCUCCGUGCCGCAGCUAACGCAAUAAGUGUCCCGCCUGGGGAGUACGGCCGCAAGGCUAAA
RNAcentral lists this ribosomal RNA (373 nucleotides) under uncultured bacterium. Its description in RNAcentral is "bacterial SSU rRNA". It matches the Rfam family "Bacterial small subunit ribosomal RNA", at positions 527 to 898 of the family's 1533-position model. The record is from RNAcentral.